AACGAACGCUGGCGGCAUGCCUAACACAUGCCAGUCGAACGAGACCUUCGGGUCUAGUGGCGCACGGGUGCGUAACGCGUGGGAACCUGCCCUUAGGUUCGGAAUAACUCCCCGAAAGGGGUGCUAAUACCGGAUAAUGUCUUCGGACCAAAGAUUUAUCGCCUUUGGAUGGGCCCGCGUUGGAUUAGCUAGUUGGUAGGGUAAAAGCCUACCAAGGCGACGAUCCAUAGCUGGUCUGAGAGGAUGAUCAGCCACACUGGGACUGAGACACGGCCCAGAAUCCUACGGGAGGCAGCAGUGGGGAAUAUUGGACAAGGGGCGAAAGCCUGAUCCAGCAAUGCCGCGUGAGUGAUGAAGGCCGUAGGGUUGUAAAGCUCUUUUACCCGGGAUGAUAAUGACAGUACCGGGAGAAUAAGCUCCGGCUAACUCCGUG
Molecule: ribosomal RNA, 433 nt
Filed under: uncultured bacterium
Lineage: Bacteria
Description: partial 16S ribosomal RNA
Rfam family: Bacterial small subunit ribosomal RNA
Source: RNAcentral